GACAGAGGGGGCAAGCGUUGCUCGGAAUUACUGGGCGUAAAGGGCGCGUAGGCGGGAUGGCAAGUCGGUCGUGAAAUCCCUCGGCUCAACUGAGGAUCGUCGAUCGAUACUGCCGUUCUUGAGGAUUGCAGAGGAGACUGGAAUUCCCGGUGUAGCGGUGAAAUGUGUAGAGAUCGGGAGGAACACCGGUGGCGAAGGCGGCUCACUGGGCCGGUCCUGACGCUGAGACGCGAAGGCGUGGGGAGCGAACGGG
RNAcentral lists this ribosomal RNA (253 nucleotides) under uncultured bacterium. RNAcentral's name for it is "partial 16S ribosomal RNA". It matches the Rfam family "Bacterial small subunit ribosomal RNA", at positions 524 to 776 of the family's 1533-position model. The record is from RNAcentral.